GACGAACGCUGGCGGCGUGCUUAACACAUGCAAGUCGAACGGAAAGGCCCUGCUUUUGUGGGGUGCUCGAGUGGCGAACGGGUGAGUAACACGUGAGUAACCUGCCCUUGACUUUGGGAUAACUUCAGGAAACUGGGGCUAAUACCGGAUAGGAGCUCCUGCUUCAUGGUGGGGGUUGGAAAGUUUCGGCGGUUGGGGAUGGACUCGCGGCUUAUCAGCUUGUUGGUGGGGUAGUGGCUUACCAAGGCUUUGGCGGGUAGCCGGCCUGAGAGGGUGACCGGCCACAUUGGGAUUGAGAUACGGCCCAGACUCCUACGGGAGGCAGCAGUGGGGAAUAUUGCACAAUGGGCGGAAGCCUGAUGCAGCAACGCCGCGUGCGGGAUGACGGCCUUCGGGUUGUAAACCGCUUUCGCCUGUGACGAAGCGUGAGUGACGGUAAUGGGUAAAGAAGCACCGGCUAACUACGUG
RNAcentral lists this ribosomal RNA (468 nucleotides) under uncultured bacterium. RNAcentral describes it as "partial 16S ribosomal RNA". It matches the Rfam family "Bacterial small subunit ribosomal RNA", at positions 28 to 507 of the family's 1533-position model. The record is from RNAcentral.